RNAcentral lists this ribosomal RNA (463 nucleotides) under uncultured bacterium. Its description in RNAcentral is "partial 16S ribosomal RNA". It matches the Rfam family "Bacterial small subunit ribosomal RNA", at positions 28 to 507 of the family's 1533-position model. The record is from RNAcentral.
GACGAACGCUGGCGGCGUGCUUAACACAUGCAAGUCGAGCGGAAAGGCCACUUCGGUGGUACUCGAGCGGCGAACGGGUGAGUAACACGUGAGUAAUCUGCCCCUCACUUUGGGAUAGCCACCGGAAACGGUGAUUAAUACCGGAUAUGACCAUAUGUCGCAUGGCGUGUGGUGGAAAGUUUUUCGGUGAGGGAUGUGCUCGCGGCCUAUCAGCUUGAUGGUGAGGUAAUGGCUCACCAUGGCUUCGACGGGUAGCCGGCCUGAGAGGGUGACCGGUCACACUGGGACUGAGAGACGGCGCAGACUCCUACGGGAGGCAGCAGUGGGGAAUAUUAGGCAGUGGGCGGGAGCCUGAUCCAGCAACGCCGCGUGAGGGAUGACGGCCUUCGGGUUGUAAACCUCUUUCAGUACCGACGAAGCGCAAGUGACGGUAGGUACAGAAGAAGCACCGGCCAACUACGUG